GGGGGUAAAUUAAUUAAAGUAAUAAUUAAAAAAAGUAAUUUUAAUAUUAAAAUAUUUAAUGGGGGUUAAAGUAUUUUAGUAGAAAAAAUUAUAAAAUUUAUAGUAAAUUAGUAUUGUGAAAGAAUUUUGAAAUAUUUGAAAUAUUAAAUUAUUUUAAAAGUAAUUUUUAUUUAUUGUAUCUUGUGUAUCAGAGUUUAUUAAUUUUUUUUUUAAGGUUUAAAAUUUCUCGAAUUUAAAAGAGCUAAUUAAUUAAAAAAGUUAUUGUGGCAAAAAUAUUUUUAAUAAUUAAUUGGAAAUGAAAUGUUAAUCGUUUUUAAAUAUAUCUAGUUUUUUUAGAAAAAAAUUUAAUUUUAAAUUAUUAUUUUAAAUUAAUAAUUAAUUAUUAAUUUAAAGUGAUAGUUUUAUAUUUUAAGGGAUAAGCUUUAAUUUAAAAUUAUAUAAUUUUAUUUAAUUUAAAAUUUGAAAAUUUUAUAAUUUAUAUUGUUAACAAAUUUUAAUUUAUUAUAAAUAAUUUCAUUUAUUCUAAAAUUUAAUUAAUAAUUUAUUUUUUUAUAAAAAAAUAAUUUUUAUUUUUAUAAAAUUAGUUAUAAUGAUAAAAUUAGUAUAUAAUUAUAAUAGAUAAAAUUUAAUUAUAGAUAAAUCAUUUUUAUUAUGAUAAUUAAUAAAAAGGAAUUCGGCAAAAAUUUAUAUUCACUUGUUUAUCAAAAACAUGUCUUUUUGUAAAUAAUUUAAAGUCUAAUCUGCCCACUGAUUAAAUUAAUUAAAGGGCUGCAGUAUUUUGACUGUACAAAGGUAGCAUAAUCAAUAGUCAUUUAAUUGGUGACUUGUAUGAAAGAUUGGAUGAAAUAUAAUCUGUCUCUUUAUUAAAUUGUAGAAUUUAAUUUUUUAAUUAAAAAGUUAAAAUAAAUUAAAAAGACGAGAAGACCCUAUAGAGUUUGAUAUAAAAUUUAAUUAAUAUUAUUUGUAAAAUUUAAAAUUGAAAUUUAUUUUUAAUAUUUUGUUGGGGUGAUAGAAAAAUAAAAUUAACUUUUUUUAUAAUUUUACAUAGAUAAGUGAUUAUUUGAUCCAGUUAUAUUGAUUAAAAGAAAAAAUUACCUUAGGGAUAACAGCGUAAUUUUUUUUUUUAGUUCGAAUAAAAAAAAAAGUUUGCGACCUCGAUGUUGGAUUAAGAUAAAAUUUAAAUGCAGAAGUUUAAAAUUUUGAUCUGUUCGAUCAUUAAAAUCUUACAUGAUCUGAGUUCAAACCGGUGUGAGCCAGGUUGGUUUCUAUCUUUUAAAAAUUAAAAUAUUUUAGUACGAAAGGAAUAAAUAUUUAAAUUAAAUUUUAUAUAGGAAUGUUAUUAAUAAAUAAUUAAUAAAAUUUAUAUUUUUAUU
This 1373-nucleotide ribosomal RNA is filed under the name Epodonta lineata. RNAcentral's name for it is "16S ribosomal RNA". Lineage: Eukaryota; Metazoa; Arthropoda; Insecta; Lepidoptera; Notodontidae. The record is from RNAcentral.